RNAcentral lists this ribosomal RNA (2899 nucleotides) under Salmonella enterica subsp. enterica. RNAcentral describes it as "bacterial LSU rRNA". It matches the Rfam family "Bacterial large subunit ribosomal RNA". Lineage: Bacteria; Pseudomonadati; Pseudomonadota; Gammaproteobacteria; Enterobacterales; Enterobacteriaceae. The record is from RNAcentral.
UUAAGCGACUAAGCGUACACGGUGGAUGCCCUGGCAGUCAGAGGCGAUGAAGGGCGUGCUAAUCUGCGAUAAGCGCCGGUAAGGUGAUAUGAACCGUUAUAACCGGCGAUACCCGAAUGGGAAACCCAGUGUGAUUCGUCACACUAUCAUUAACUGAAUCCAUAGGUUAAUGAGGCGAACCGGGGGAACUGAAACAUCUAAGUACCCCGAGGAAAAGAAAUCAACCGAGAUUCCCCAGUAGCGGCGAGCGAACGGGGAGGAGCCCAGAGCCUGAAUCAGCAUGUGUGUUAGUGGAAGCGUCUGGAAAGGCGCGCGAUACAGGGUGACAGCCCCGUACACAAAAGCGCACAUGCUGUGAGCUCGAUGAGUAGGGCGGGACACGUGGUAUCCUGUCUGAAUAUGGGGGGACCAUCCUCCAAGGCUAAAUACUCCUGACUGACCGAUAGUGAACCAGUACCGUGAGGGAAAGGCGAAAAGAACCCCGGCGAGGGGAGUGAAAAAGAACCUGAAACCGUGUACGUACAAGCAGUGGGAGCACCCUUUGGGGUGUGACUGCGUACCUUUUGUAUAAUGGGUCAGCGACUUAUAUUCUGUAGCAAGGUUAACCGUAUAGGGGAGCCGGAGGGAAACCGAGUCUUAACCGGGCGUUAAGUUGCAGGGUAUAGACCCGAAACCCGGUGAUCUAGCCAUGGGCAGGUUGAAGGUUGGGUAACACUAACUGGAGGACCGAACCGACUAAUGUUGAAAAAUUAGCGGAUGACCUGUGGCUGGGGGUGAAAGGCCAAUCAAACCGGGAGAUAGCUGGUUCUCCCCGAAAGCUAUUUAGGUAGCGCCUCGUGAAUUCAUCUCCGGGGGUAGAGCACUGUUUCGGCUAGGGGGCCAUCCCGGCUUACCAACCCGAUGCAAACUGCGAAUACCGGAGAAUGUUAUCACGGGAGACACACGGCGGGUGCUAACGUCCGUCGUGAAGAGGGAAACAACCCAGACCGCCAGCUAAGGUCCCAAAGUCAUGGUUAAGUGGGAAACGAUGUGGGAAGGCCCAGACAGCCAGGAUGUUGGCUUAGAAGCAGCCAUCAUUUAAAGAAGCGUAAUAGCUCACUGGUCGAGUCGGCCUGCGCGGAAGAUGUAACGGGGCUAAACCAUGCACCGAAGCUGCGGCAGCGACGCUGAUGCGUUGUUGGGUAGGGGAGCGUUCUGUAAGCCUGUGAAGGUGGCCUGUGAGGGUUGCUGGAGGUAUCAGAAGUGCGAAUGCUGACAUAAGUAACGAUAAAGCGGGUGAAAAGCCCGCUCGCCGGAAGACCAAGGGUUCCUGUCCAACGUUAAUCGGGGCAGGGUGAGUCGACCCCUAAGGCGAGGCCGAAAGGCGUAGUCGAUGGGAAACGGGUUAAUAUUCCCGUACUUGGUGUUACUGCGAAGGGGGGACGGAGAAGGCUAUGUUGGCCGGGCGACGGUUGUCCCGGUUUAAGCGUGUAGGUGUGUGUUCCAGGUAAAUCCGGUUCACUUUAACACUGAGGCGUGAUGACGAGGCACUACGGUGCUGAAGCAACAAAUGCCCUGCUUCCAGGAAAAGCCUCUAAGCAUCAGGUAACAUCAAAUCGUACCCCAAACCGACACAGGUGGUCAGGUAGAGAAUACCAAGGCGCUUGAGAGAACUCGGGUGAAGGAACUAGGCAAAAUGGUGCCGUAACUUCGGGAGAAGGCACGCUGACAUGUAGGUGAAGUGAUUUACUCACGGAGCUGAAGUCAGUCGAAGAUACCAGCUGGCUGCAACUGUUUAUUAAAAACACAGCACUGUGCAAACACGAAAGUGGACGUAUACGGUGUGACGCCUGCCCGGUGCCGGAAGGUUAAUUGAUGGGGUCAGCGCAAGCGAAGCUCCUGAUCGAAGCCCGGUAAACGGCGGCCGUAACUAUAACGGUCCUAAGGUAGCGAAAUUCCUUGUCGGGUAAGUUCCGACCUGCACGAAUGGCGUAAUGAUGGCCAGGCUGUCUCCACCCGAGACUCAGUGAAAUUGAACUCGCUGUGAAGAUGCAGUGUACCCGCGGCAAGACGGAAAGACCCCGUGAACCUUUACUAUAGCUUGACACUGAACAUUGAGCCUUGAUGUGUAGGAUAGGUGGGAGGCUUUGAAGUGUGGACGCCAGUCUGCAUGGAGCCGACCUUGAAAUACCACCCUUUAAUGUUUGAUGUUCUAACGUGGACCCGUGAUCCGGGUUGCGGACAGUGUCUGGUGGGUAGUUUGACUGGGCGGUCUCCUCCUAAAGAGUAACGGAGGAGCACGAAGGUUGGCUAAUCCUGGUCGGACAUCAGGAGGUUAGUGCAAUGGCAUAAGCCAGCUUGACUGCGAGCGUGACGGCGCGAGCAGGUGCGAAAGCAGGUCAUAGUGAUCCGGUGGUUCUGAAUGGAAGGGCCAUCGCUCAACGGAUAAAAGGUACUCCGGGGAUAACAGGCUGAUACCGCCCAAGAGUUCAUAUCGACGGCGGUGUUUGGCACCUCGAUGUCGGCUCAUCACAUCCUGGGGCUGAAGUAGGUCCCAAGGGUAUGGCUGUUCGCCAUUUAAAGUGGUACGCGAGCUGGGUUUAGAACGUCGUGAGACAGUUCGGUCCCUAUCUGCCGUGGGCGCUGGAGAACUGAGGGGGGCUGCUCCUAGUACGAGAGGACCGGAGUGGACGCAUCACUGGUGUUCGGGUUGUCAUGCCAAUGGCACUGCCCGGUAGCUAAAUGCGGAAGAGAUAAGUGCUGAAAGCAUCUAAGCACGAAACUUGCCCCGAGAUGAGUUCUCCCUGAGACUUAGAGUCUCCUGAAGGAACGUUGAAGACGACGACGUUGAUAGGCCGGGUGUGUAAGCGCAGCGAUGCGUUGAGCUAACCGGUACUAAUGAACCGUGAGGCUUAACCUU